This 852-nucleotide ribosomal RNA is filed under the name uncultured bacterium. Its description in RNAcentral is "SSU rRNA". It matches the Rfam family "Bacterial small subunit ribosomal RNA", at positions 524 to 1381 of the family's 1533-position model. The record is from RNAcentral.
UACGUAGGGUGCGAGCGUUAAUCGGAAUUACUGGGCGUAAAGCGUGCGCAGGCGGCUUUGCAAGACAGAUGUGAAAUCCCCGGGCUCAACCUGGGAACUGCAUUUGUGACUGCAAGGCUAGAGUACGGCAGAGGGGGAUGGAAUUCCGCGUGUAGCAGUGAAAUGCGUAGAUAUGCGGAGGAACACCAAUGGCGAAGGCAAUCCCCUGGGCCUGUACUGACGCUCAUGCACGAAAGCGUGGGGAGCAAACAGGAUUAGAUACCCUGGUAGUCCACGCCCUAAACGAUGUCAACUGGUUGUUGGACGGCUUGCUGUUCAGUAACGAAGCUAACGCGUGAAGUUGACCGCCUGGGGAGUACGGCCGCAAGGUUGAAACCCAAAGGAAUUGACGGGGACCCGCACAAGCGGUGGAUGAUGUGGUUUAAUUCGAUGCAACGCGAAAAACCUUACCUACCCUUGACAUGUCAAGAAUUCUGCAGAGAUGUGGAAGUGCUCGAAAGAGAACUUGAACACAGGUGCUGCAUGGCCGUCGUCAGCUCGUGUCGUGAGAUGUUGGGUUAAGUCCCGCAACGAGCGCAACCCUUGUCAUUAGUUGCUACGCAAGAGCACUCUAAUGAGACUGCCGGUGACAAACCGGAGGAAGGUGGGGAUGACGUCAGGUCCUCAUGGCCCUUAGGGGUAGGGCUACACACGUCAUACAAUGGCCGGUACAGAGGGCUGCCAACCCGCGAGGGGGAGCCAAUCCCAGAAAACCGGUCGUAGUCCGGAUCGUAGUCUGCAACUCGACUGCGUGAAGUCGGAAUCGCUAGUAAUCGCGGAUCAGCUUGCCGCGGUGAAUACGUUCCCGGGUCU